Non-coding RNA from Hordeum vulgare subsp. vulgare (domesticated barley), 135 nucleotides. NCBI's taxonomy places the organism in Eukaryota, Viridiplantae, Streptophyta, Magnoliopsida, Poales, Poaceae. The record is from Rfam.
AAGUUACUACCUCCGUCUCAAAAUUCAUGUCUUAGAUUUGUCUAAAGAUAAAUGUACCUAGUUACGUUUUAGUAUUUAGAUACCUUCACUUUUAGACAAACGUAAGACAAAAACUUUAGGACGGGGGAGUAUUAU